RNAcentral lists this long non-coding RNA (1472 nucleotides) under Salmo salar (Atlantic salmon). RNAcentral's name for it is "lncRNA (ENSSSAG00000108881.1, ENSSSAG00000110624.1)". Lineage: Eukaryota; Metazoa; Chordata; Actinopteri; Salmoniformes; Salmonidae. The record is from RNAcentral.
GUUACGUUCACUUAUUUAUUGAUGUUGUUAGUAUCUGAGCAGGACCAUAGAUAGAGUUAGUAAAAGGUUGAUUAUAGGUUAUUAACAGGUCACCUCUAUGUAUCGUUGGUUAGGGUUAGAAUCAGUAAUAGGUUGAUAAUAGGUUAUUAACAGGUUACCUCUAUGUACCGUUGGUUAGGGUUAGGGUCAGUAAUAGGUUGAUAAUAGGUUAUUAACAGGUUACCUCUAUGUAUCGUUGGUUAGGGUUAGGGUUAGUAAAAGGUUGAUUAUAGGUUAUUAACAGGUUACCUCUAUGUAUCGUUGGUUAGGGUUAGACUCAGUAAUAGGUUGAUAAUAGGUUAUUAACAGGUUACCUCUAUGUACCGUUGGUUAGGGUUAUAGUCAGUAAUAGGUUGAUAAUAGGUUAUUAACAGGUUACCUCUAUGUACCGUUGGUUAGGGUUAGGGUCAGUAAUAGGUUGAUAAUAGGUUAUUAACAGGUUACCUCUAUGUACCGUUGGUUAGGGUUAGGGUUAGUAAUAGGUGGAUAAUAGGUUAUUAACAGGUUACCUCUAUGUACCGUUGGUUAGGGUUAUGGUCAGUAAUAGGUUAUUAACAGGUCACCUCUAUGUAUCGUUGGUUAGGGUUAGGGUUAGUAAUAGGUUGAUAAUAGGUUAUUAACAGGUUACCUCUAUGUACCGUUGGUUAGGGUUAGUAAUAUGUUGAUAAUAGGUUAUUAACAGGUUACCUCUAUGUACCGUUGGUUAGGGUUAGGGUUAGUAAUAGGUUAUUAACAGGUCACCUCUAUGUACCGUUGGUUAGGGUUAGUAAUAGGUGGAUAAUAGGUUAUUAACAGGUUACCUCUAUGUAUCGUUGGUUAGGGUUAGGGUUAGUAAUAGGUUAUUAACAGGUCACCUCUAUGUAUCGUUGGUUAGGGUUAGGGUUAGUAAUAGGUUGAUAAAUGGUUAUUAACAGGUUACCUCUAUGUAUCGUUGGUUAGGGUUAGGGUCAGUAAUAGGUUAUUAACAGGUUACCUCUAUGUACCGUUGGUUAGGGUUAGUAAUAGGUUGAUAAUAGGUUAUUAACAGACGACCUCUAUGUAUCUGUUGCCCAUGUGGUGUUUGUGUCUCUGCAGGGCCAUGUCUCUGUGCUCUUCACUGAUGAAGCGGACCAUAGCCUCUCCGUUCCUCCGACCCUGGGCGUUCAGACACAACGCAGCGCCACCUCUGGACAACACACAGCAUUACAGCUAUUAAAACAAUUUCAAUACACUACACACCAUCAUAACAGCAACGAGUCAAACACAACAGACAACACACCACUAGACACUGAACACACAUACUUGGCAAUGUUGAGUCCUCUGAAGAAGCGAGCGAUGUCCUGGUCAGAUGACUGCCACGGCAACCCCCUCGCUCUGAUCACUGUGUUGUCACACACACGCUCCAUCUUACUGCUACACACACACACACGUGCACACGGACACACACACACACA